UGGGGUAUAGCCAAGUGGUAAGGCAGCGGGUUUUGAUCCCGCCAUUCCUAGGUUCGAGUCCUAGUACCCCAGCCA
Molecule: transfer RNA, 75 nt
Filed under: Aliidiomarina sanyensis
Lineage: Bacteria; Pseudomonadati; Pseudomonadota; Gammaproteobacteria; Alteromonadales; Idiomarinaceae
Description: tRNA-Gln
Rfam family: tRNA
About the family: Transfer RNA (tRNA) molecules are approximately 80 nucleotides in length. Their secondary structure includes four short double-helical elements and three loops (D, anti-codon, and T loops).
Source: RNAcentral